UAACACGUAGGUAACCUGCCCAUGUGCCCGGGAUAACUUCUGGAAACGGAUGCUAAAACCGGAUAGGUAGCAGACAAGCAUUUGACUGCUAUUAAAGUGGCCUUGGCCAUGAACAUGGAUGGACCUGCGGUGCAUUAGCUAGUUGGUGAGGUAACGGCCCACCAAGGCGACGAUGCAUAGCCGGCCUGAGAGGGCGGACGGCCACAUUGGGACUGAGACACGGCCCAAACUCCUACGGGAGGCAGCAGUAGGGAAUUUUCGUCAAUGGGGGGAACCCUGAACGAGCAAUGCCGCGUGAGUGAGGAAGGUCUUCGGAUCGUAAAGCUCUGUUGUAAGAGAAAAACGGCACUCAUAGGGAAUGAUGAGUGAGUGAUGGUAUCUUACCAGAAAGUCACGGCUAACUACGUGCCAGCAGCCGCGGUAAUACGUAGGUGGCGAGCGUUAUCCGGAAUGAUUGGGCGUAAAGGGUGCGUAGGUGGCAGAUCAAGUCUGGAGUAAAAGGUAUGGGCUCAACCCGUACUGGCUCUGGAAACUGAUCAGCUAGAGAACAGAAGAGGACGGCGGAACUCCAUGUGUAGCGGUAAAAUGCGUAGAUAUAUGGAAGAACACCGGUGGCGAAGGCGGCCGCCUGGUCUGGAUUCUGACACUGAAGCACGAAAGCGUGGGGAGCAAAUAGGAUUAGAUACCCUAGUAGUCCACGCCGUAAACGAUGAGAACUAGGUGU
Molecule: ribosomal RNA, 724 nt
Filed under: uncultured bacterium
Lineage: Bacteria
Description: bacterial SSU rRNA
Rfam family: Bacterial small subunit ribosomal RNA
Source: RNAcentral